GAAUACUGCAUAGUAGCCUAGUCAAGCAGGCAACCUUGAUUAGGGGGAGGGACGAGCUGAUUGCUUGUUAGACUGAGGCUAUUUAAGUCAGCCUGGUUCCUCCACUUGCAGGACAUUUUCCCUCUAUGGCAUGCUAGCGCAAACGCUUUCACAGAGGUGAAUGGCGGUAGGUAGCCUAAUACUCUCUUCCAUGUUCUGUGAAUAUAGAUCGCUCUUCGUAAAGUAAUCUUUCCCUUCAUACAGGUCCCACUCGGUGUGCAUCUACUGGCAUUAGAGAUCACUGAAUUCGCUAUGACUCCCUGGCGGCCUCCCCAUUUCCGCAUUCGGUAUGGGUAGAUAUUGACGGCGCAGACUUGCAGUGUAGCGCAUGGCGUGAUCGUACCCACGAAACACCUGAGUGAUCGCAUGUGUUGCGAGGUUCCCUAGUGGUGAGUAGUUGACACUCCACCCUUUUCCUCACAGGCAGCGCUGCUUCUCCUGGAGCCUUGGCUAAAUCCCUGGCUGGAAGACUGCUAGUUCUGUUGUAGCUGUAGCUAUUUUAUGUGUCGGUUGCACUGAUCUGCUUUAAUAAUAAAUUAUUAUAUCAAUGAUUUAUUCCCACAGCUGCUUCCAGACUACUUUUAUUCCAAAUUAAUAAAUGGUAGAACGAA
Molecule: long non-coding RNA, 650 nt
Organism: Alosa sapidissima (American shad)
Lineage: Eukaryota; Metazoa; Chordata; Actinopteri; Clupeiformes; Clupeidae
Exons: 2
Source: RefSeq, a predicted model, not a curated record